CCUUCCUCCUCUGCGCCCGCUCACUCCUUCGAGGCUUCCUGCUGCAGAACGUGAGGCUUCUGCGUCAUGUGUGCCGGUGUCCUCCCCGCCUGGCCCUGGGGCAAUAAAAGCCAGGGCUUUGAGGGUCCUGUGCCUGGUCAGGCCCUCACCCCGCCUGCCUUCUGCAGGAGUUUGUGGGGUUCAUGUGGCGGCAGCGGGGACGGGUCAUCAGCCUGUGGGAGCGGCUGGAAUUUGUCAAUGGCUGGUACAUCCUGCUCGUCACCAGCGAUGUGCUCACCAUCUCGGGCACCAUCAUGAAGAUCGGCAUCGAGGCCAAGAACUUGGCGAGCUACGACGUCUGCAGCAUCCUCCUGGGCACCUCGACGCUGCUGGUGUGGGUGGGCGUGAUCCGCUACCUGACCUUCUUCCACAACUACAAUAUCCUCAUCGCCACACUGCGGGUGGCUCUGCCCAGCGUCAUGCGCUUCUGCUGCUGCGUGGCUGUCAUCUACCUGGGCUACUGCUUCUGUGGCUGGAUCGUGCUGGGGCCCUAUCAUGUGAAGUUCCGCUCGCUCUCCAUGGUGUCUGAGUGCCUGUUCUCGCUCAUCAACGGGGACGACAUGUUCGUGACGUUCGCCGCCAUGCAGGCGCAGCAGGGCCGCAGCAGCCUGGUGUGGCUCUUCUCCCAGCUCUACCUGUACUCCUUCAUCAGCCUCUUCAUCUACAUGGUGCUCAGCCUCUUCAUCGCGCUCAUCACCGGCGCCUACGACACCAUCAAG
RNAcentral lists this small RNA (758 nucleotides) under Pan troglodytes (chimpanzee). RNAcentral describes it as "retained intron". The record is from RNAcentral. Lineage: Eukaryota; Metazoa; Chordata; Mammalia; Primates; Hominidae.